AGAGUUUGAUCCUGGCUCAGAUUGAACGCUGGCGGCAUGCCUUACACAUGCAAGUCGAACGGCAGCGCGGGAGCAAUCCUGGCGGCGAGUGGCGAACGGGUGAGUAAUAUAUCGGAACGUGCCUUAGAGUGGGGGAUAACUAGUCGAAAGACUAGCUAAUACCGCAUACGACCUACGGGUGAAAGUGGGGGAUCGCAAGACCUCAUGCUCUUAGAGCGGCCGAUAUCUGAUUAGCUAGUUGGUGGGGUAAAAGCCUACCAAGGCGACGAUCAGUAGCUGGUCUGAGAGGACGACCAGCCACACUGGGACUGAGACACGGCCCAGACUCCUACGGGAGGCAGCAGUGGGGAAUUUUGGACAAUGGGGGCAACCCUGAUCCAGCAAUGCCGCGUGUGUGAAGAAGGCCUUCGGGUUGUAAAGCACUUUUGUUCGGAAAGAAGUCGCUCUGGCUAAUAUCCGGAGUGGAUGACGGUACCGAAGA
RNAcentral lists this ribosomal RNA (481 nucleotides) under uncultured bacterium. RNAcentral's name for it is "bacterial SSU rRNA". It matches the Rfam family "Bacterial small subunit ribosomal RNA", at positions 8 to 484 of the family's 1533-position model. The record is from RNAcentral.